AGUGAACGCUGGCGGUAGGCCUAACACAUGCAAGUCGAACGGCAGCACAGUAAGAGCUUGCUCUUACGGGUGGCGAGUGGCGGACGGGUGAGGAAUACAUCGGAAUCUACUUUUUCGUGGGGUAUAACGUAGGGAAACUUACUCUAAUACCGCAUACGACCUACGGGUGAAAGCAGGGGAUCUUCGGACCUUGCGCGAUUGAAUGAGCCGAUGUCGGAUUAGCUAGUUGGCGGGGUAAAGGCCCACCAAGGCGACGAUCCGUAGCUGGUCUGAGAGGAUGAUCAGCCACACUGGAACUGAGACACGGUCCAGACUCCUACGGGAGGCAGCAGUGGGGAAUAUUGGACAAUGGGCGCAAGCCUGAUCCAGCCAUACCGCGUGGGUGAAGAAGGCCUUCGGGUUGUAAAGCACUUUUGUUGGGAAAGAAAAGAAGAAGGUUAAUACCCCGCUGUUCUGACGGUACCCAAAGAAUAAGCACCGGCUAACUUCGUG
This 492-nucleotide ribosomal RNA is filed under the name uncultured bacterium. Its description in RNAcentral is "partial 16S ribosomal RNA". It matches the Rfam family "Bacterial small subunit ribosomal RNA", at positions 29 to 507 of the family's 1533-position model. The record is from RNAcentral.